GAUCCUAGGUGUCAGGGGUAUCGACUCCUCUGGUGCCGUCGCUAACGCAAUAAGUAUCCCGCCUGGGGAGUACGGCCGCAAGGUUGAAACUCAAAGGAAUUGACGGGGGCCCGCACAAGCGGUGGAGCAUGUUGUUUAAUACGUCGCAAACCGUAGAACCUUCGAGAGAAGGAGGCAGGUGUCGACAUGAGUUGAUGUGACUGGGGCGAAGUCGUAACAAGGUAACCGUA
RNAcentral lists this ribosomal RNA (230 nucleotides) under uncultured Armatimonadota bacterium. RNAcentral describes it as "uncultured Armatimonadetes bacterium partial 16S ribosomal RNA". It matches the Rfam family "Bacterial small subunit ribosomal RNA", at positions 812 to 1056 of the family's 1533-position model. The record is from RNAcentral. Lineage: Bacteria; Bacillati; Armatimonadota.